This 21-nucleotide non-coding RNA is filed under the name Caenorhabditis elegans. Lineage: Eukaryota; Metazoa; Nematoda; Chromadorea; Rhabditida; Rhabditidae. The record is from RNAcentral.
UAGGAACAGUGAUGUUUGUAC